GACGAACCUUGCUAACGUUAUUCGGAAUUACUGGGCUUAAAGGGUGCGUAGGCGGCGCGGAAAGUUGGGUGUGAAAUCCCUUGGCUCAACCGAGGAAUUGCGCCCAAAACUGCCGCACUAGAGGAAGACAGAGGUACGCGGAACUUAGGGUGGAGCGGUGAAAUGCGUUGAUAUCCUAAGGAACACCGGUGGCGAAAGCGGCGUACUGGGUCUUAUCUGACGCUGAGGCACGAAAGCUAGGGGAGCGAACGGG
This 253-nucleotide ribosomal RNA is filed under the name uncultured bacterium. RNAcentral describes it as "partial 16S ribosomal RNA". It matches the Rfam family "Bacterial small subunit ribosomal RNA", at positions 524 to 776 of the family's 1533-position model. The record is from RNAcentral.